CCGUGGGCGGGGCUUUGGGGGCGCCGGCAGCCACCUAGGGAGCCGGGGCCGGCGGGCGGCGAUCCCCGCCGCUGAGCUCGCGCGCCCGCCUCGGCUCAAGCCGCCCCCUCCCGCACGCCCGCCGCACGGUCUGAGCCAAUUCGCUUCCCGGCGGCGCUUUGCGCGGAGGAAAACCUGGCGGUGGAAGGCUCCGGCUCUGCCGGUGACCGCUCUGAAUACAAAGAGCCUUUCUCACGCCCCUGCGCCCUUCUCCGGGGCGCCCAUAUACAAGGGACCAACUCUGUGACGCCCGAGCCCACGACGGUCGGGGCUGCAGCACCAUUUCUGUGGUUCUUGCAGCGAAAUGUGGUCCCAAGUAUUUGUUUACAAAGGAAGAUUUAAUAAAGAUUAUAACAACUUUUGUCUCUGCAAUUAAAGAGGGAAAAAAAAUGAGAAAGGAAGCCCAUGGAAACGUCCCAGAAAGCCAACCUGCCAGGAUCCAGACGUUCCUGGAGGAAGGCCAGAUGGCUAAAGCAGGAGAGAAAAAGGGCAGAAACUCUUACAAUCCCUAACCGGCCCCCACUGCUUCUCUGGUGGGGGAUACUUUGAGCUCCCACAUGCCUGUCAUUUGAAAUGAAGAUUCAUGAACACAAAACACAAUGUUGGAAGGUCAUCAAGUUCCAGAUGAUGUCACUAAGAGAUACAGUCCUCUCAAUAUUCAAGAGCCACCCUUCUACAGAGAACGCCUAGACUGCUUAUCAAUGGGACAUGACAGAGGCAAAAACCUGGUUGAAUACUGCUUUCACCAACCCAUGGAGCCAACUCUGCCCUGACAGCUAGCAAGAGGCCAAGACCUGCAGAACAACCACUAAAACGCCUCUCUGUUAGCAGGAAUCAGUUACAGAAGAUUGACCUUCGUCCAUUUUCCUCAAAGAAUUGGGUAUUGGACUCUCGAGUGGGGAAAUGUUACAGUAGGUAGCUAGUCAGGCUUGAGCUGUGCAAGAGAGGGCCUAACCUCUAACCCUGCCACACACACACACCAGAAAUUUCAGGCAACCAUCAGGUUAUGGUCAGGUGGUUAACUGUCUCUCUAAAAUAAUAAUUGGUCACAGCCAACGCCAGGGAAAGUUAGUCUCCCAAUAAAUAGAAACACCUGAAACUGGUGAUCAGCAGCAUCCUGAUAAGAUCUCAGGAGUUGGGUGCAUGGGCUCAAGCUUGCCCAUUAAGAGGCAAAAUUGUGGCGUUUAACUAGUAUAUGACCUUCUAGGGACAUUUGACUGGUAAGGGAAGAAUGCCUCAAAUGAGCAAAUAUGCAACUCCAGCAAACACACUGUGCAUGCUCUCCUCUCAAGUGCUAGCAGGCCACUGUAUGUGCAGACAGCCCCUCCCAAAGGAAGAAACGGGGAGAAGGGAUGCAAGGCCUUGGAAGCAUGCUAAUGUAUGAAACCCCAAGACAAAAGGUCAAACCGUGCACUUAUCUGUCAAAUCACCCACUUUACCCUCUUCCAAGGUGAUCUCUCAAGUCACCUGCUUCACCCUCUUCCAAGUGUACGUUACCUCUUCUCAUUCCUGCUCUAAAGCUUUUUCAUAAACUUUCACUCCUGAUCUGAAACUUGCCUUAGUCUCUCCUUCUGCUUAUGUCUCUCAGUCAAACUCUUUCUUCUGAGGAGGCAAGAAUUGCGAUUUCUGCAAACCUGUAUGGAUUUGCCACCAGUAAGAAAACUUACAAAACUCAAAGACAGAGAAUUUUGAAAGCAGCAAGAGAAAACAUUUGUCCUAAUUUCAAAUUAUGUUAGAAAACUGUAGCAAUCAAAAGAGCAUGGCACUAGCAUAAAAACAGAUACAUAGAUCAAUGAAAAAGAAUAGAGAACACAGAAAUAAACCCAUGCAUAUGCAGUUAGCCCAUCUUCAACAAAAGCACCAAGAUUAUACAAUAGGGAAAGAAUAGUGAAGGGAAUUAAAAUACUUUAUCCCAAAAUACAUUUCUUUGACAUAUUUUUAAAUGGCUGCUUCUUGGCCAGCAGGCAGAAUUGGCCUUGUGAAGCUAUUUUAAGUGCAGAAAAUUUGCAUCUGUAGAGAAUCUCCAUUAGCGAAGCCAUCUCUACUUCCCUUCCUAUGCCUUCCCCCAGAUCCAGGAGAGGUUGAGAGUCUGACGCCUUAAUUAUUUAUUUAAAACCUUUUCCUCCACCUCUGGCAGAUGAACUGACACCUUUAAAGAUCUGAAAAGAAAUGUUUACUAUCUAUUCUCUCUGAAGGAGGCUUCAUCUACAUAAAAAGGCCACCUUUGCUAGUCAAGCCUCCUCAUUUCUCUCUCUUUAAACCUGCCUUGCCAUUAAACCUGAUUUGCCUGUUUCUAGACUUGCUCAUAGUCUGCAUUCUUCACUGCGGCCUCAGGAUAAUAUACACGUUUCUGUAACUCAUUGUGAAGUUGGGCUUUUAUUCUGAAGGCUCCUGUGGAUGCAUGUUAAAUAAAUUUUUAUGCCUUUUCUCCUAUAAAUCAAUCUGCCUAAUGUCAGUGAUUUUUAGCAAACCUUUAGGGGGCCAAGAGCCUAUGGCUCCCACAGUAAUUUUGUCAAUAACGGGCUGAGAAAAAUGAAUAUCGACAUAUAAAAGAAAGAAAUUGUACUCUUAUCUUACAGUGUACGCAAAAAUCAACUCAAAAUAGAUUAAAGUGUUAGAAUAAGACCUGAAAACCAAAAACUCCUAGAAAACUUAGGAAGAAAGCUUUCUGACAUUGGACUUGGCAGUGAAUUUUGGAUAUAACAUCAAUAGCAAAGUGAACUAAAGCAAAAAUAAACAGAUGAAAUUGUAUUAAACAAAAACUUUCUACACAGGAAUGGAAACAAUCAACAAAAUGAAAAGAAAACUGAAUAAGGGGAAAUAUUUGCAAACCAUAUCUCAGAUAAGAAGUUAAUAUUCAAAAUAUAUAAUGAACUUGUAAACCAAAAAUAGAAUUCUAAGCCCCCCUACCUGACUGGUGGACCCUCCCCUCACCCAAAGGCAUUUCAAAUUGUUCCAAAAAACUAGUUCAGGCCAUGAUGGGAAGUGGGGGUCAAACAUGUCUCACAAACAUCAACACAGAGACCGUAAGACUGAUAGAACAGACUUUUAAAAUCUGUUAAGAAACACCAUCUAUUCUCUCUGAAGCUUACCUACAGGCUUCGUUUACAUGAUAAAGUCUUGGUCUCCACAUCCCUUUAUCAAAACCCAGACAUUCCCUUCCAAUAGAUUCCAGGUCUUUAGAUAAAAACUCUUUCAACCAUUUGCUAAUCAGAAAAUCUUUAAAUCUGCUUGUGACCUGGAAAUCUCUGCUUUGAGUUGUCCCACCUUUCUGAAUUGAGCCAAUAUACUUCUUACACAUAUUGACCCAUAUCUCAUGUCUCCCUAACAUGUCUAAAACCAAGCUGUACCCUAACCUUGGGCAUAUGUUGUCAGGACAUCCAGAGGCUGUUGUUCACAGACGUAUCCUUAACCUUGGCAAAAUAAACUUUCUAAACUGA
Molecule: non-coding RNA, 3479 nt
Organism: Callithrix jacchus (white-tufted-ear marmoset)
Lineage: Eukaryota; Metazoa; Chordata; Mammalia; Primates; Cebidae
Source: RefSeq, a predicted model, not a curated record